This 21841-nucleotide long non-coding RNA is filed under the name Setaria viridis. Its description in RNAcentral is "long non-coding RNA (SVIR_LNC008545)". The record is from RNAcentral. Lineage: Eukaryota; Viridiplantae; Streptophyta; Magnoliopsida; Poales; Poaceae.
UAAACUUCAUAUAUUUAUGGAUGGAGGUAGUAGUUGUUUAUGUAACAUAUAAAUCAAAAUGGACACUGACUCGACAAAGAAAUAGAUAUAAACAGGGCUAGAGGUUUACAUAAAUUAAAUCUGCAUGGCAGCAUAACCACAACAAGUCCUGACUACAAAACAAGUACAUGAUAACUUAAACCACCUGAAGGAAGCACCACCAGUCUGCCAGGUAAUAGCAUCACCAAGUCAGUGGCGAGCCAUGUCGUGGUACGAUGACACACAGUUCUGAAGUAAUCUAAAGAAGAACAGACCAUGCAACCACCAUGUGCAGGCUCGAGGAUCCAAUGUGAAAAUAGCAUUCAUCGCUCCGGGCUGACUUAGCUACAAAACCAAACUUCUUCUCAAGCUUAGUGCUGCUCUCGCCAGCGUCACCUAGCUGUUCAGCCUUGAUGCCAAGGAUCAGUUCAGCCCUCUCCUCCACGACGACUACUCGGCGCUGCAGUGUGACCUGCCUAUCCUUGUUGACGACCACCUCCUUGCCUCUGGUGUCCAGCAGCACUACAUCCUCACCAAUGCUCGUGUUGCAGGCAGUGAGGCGUGCACUAAAGUUGCCUGAUCCCUUGCUGAUGCGGGCAGUGAUGGUCGCCUCCACGGAGCGCUUGACAUGAGCGUACCUGACCUCCACUGUGCUAUGCUUGCUUGAAAGCACCUCUGUUCUGGUGUAACUGAGACUGCCUCUGUAAGAGAUGUUGUUGUAUCCAAAGAAAUCCAAGCAUAAAAUCUUGUCAUCUUCAGACAAUGAACUCCCUUUGUCCUUCACUUUCAGGUCAAUCUCAAAAAUAGGCUCAUCCCACAGCAGGAUAGAUCGGCUAGGACCUGUAAGUUCCAAAAGACAAUCCUGCAUACAGUGGCACACAAAUUAAAGGCCAGCAAAUUUCAAUGGCCUUUAGGAACACCAUCACUAAAGGUGCAUCAGAAGCCAGACAAAUUAAAGGCCCGCAAAUUUCAAUUGCCUUUGGGAACACCAUCACUAAAGGUGAAUCAACAGCCAGCAAUUUAUUUCACCAGUGAUGCACAUACAAAACCACUUAAUAGCAUUCUCUAAAAUGAAGAUUUAAGGAUCAGGAAUGUGCCCACCUACUGAAAUCUUGCAUGUCAGGGCCAGCCAACCAAGAAGUGAAGUGGAUACCAACUAUAAAAACUACAUUUGAUAUACUUUUAAAAAUAUAACCAAGUUUUACUAUUUACGUUUUAAGAGCCAGCAGCAACAUGCAUAAAGUAUCUCUGAUGGAAAGGUUCUGAUCCUAAUUCACAGUAUCAACCUGUAUAAAUAUUUCUUCCGAAUGCUAGCGUGGAGCUAAACGCCAUAAAAAUCAGCUGAUAUUACCAGUGCUACCAAGCAGAUUACACCAUACACAUGCAUUGAGAUGCUUAUAGUAGAUUAAAUGAGCGAUGGAAUAGGACAGAAGUUGAAACACAGAUGUUUGAACUUGCCUGAGAGGUGAGGGUCCGGCAAUUAUCUCUGCCUCGAAUGAAGAGUUAGUUGCGCUUCCAGUCUAGGGAAUCACGCACAGCGACGAUGCCAUAGACAUCUAGUGGCCAUUGGAGGUCGCUGGUGAUCUGAUUCACCUUGACAAAGAAGACCUCCAUGGUAUCACACCCUCUCCUAGCGAGCAUCAGCGGCUACGGUGCCUUCGCCCAUCAGUACUUACUGACACGCCCGACCCGCGCUCUAAACUUUCCAGAUCCAAAAAACAAGAAAGAGGAUCGAAAACUUUUUUCGACAUUUUAUAGAAAACAAGUUCAAAGUCAAACUAACAUAUUUACACCUGGGGCGCCUAAGCCCGAUACAGCUAACUCGUCCUGGGAUCUUCGGGGCGGGACGGCUUUAUCCUCCAGAAGCUUCGCCAAGGCAUCCGCUGGGUUGAGCACCGACGCGUAGGUCCCACAGCACCUCGCCCGCUCGCCACCGUUGACACGGGAGGAUCGGCUCCGUGUAGACGAGCAUUCAAUGCAGGGCACGGCCACACUGGCUGUCCUACGCCGGUGACAAGACCCGGCUGAAGGAACCGAUCUUUGGCCGAGGGGUCCAAGGGUGAGGCUACACCCCUCAGAUCGCCCAGAACCCUUGUCAGGGGAAGGCACGCACGAACUUUUACGAGCCCACGCGCCCCGACGUCAUCACCACCCCUGUCAGAGCGACUCGUCAAGGUCAAGGAUCUGACCCAGCGCUAGAUCCCGUACGACCCUAAGGGGGUGGGACCUAGCGCUGGGUGACGGUGUGAGAUGGCCAGGAGUCAUCGAGGAGGUCGGGGAAACCCGGAACAGGCGGCACGCCCCGCCCCCGCCUCGAGCUCAGGCCUAUCCGCUCAUCACCAGUACGACUGACAGCCAUGACUCCCGUCCCGUUCACUGCCACGGGGUUGGCAGACGGGACGGGAGCACGCCACAGGCCAGGCCUCGCGUAGGUGGCCCACACCGCACAGGAGUCGCCGUACAAGGCGUGCGAAGCCCGCUGCCAGGCUAGGAGGACACAGUGUUAGAUUGAUCUCCUUCCCAAUGGGCCCAAAGGCCCAUCGGAACCCUGAUCCGCGCCCUGAUCGGGAGCGCUCACCCUAGCAAUGGGUGGUGGGCUCCUGUCGCGCUGCGCUAUAUAAACAGGGUGGGGACCCGGCUCGGCUCACGAGGUUCGCCGCUGCCAGCCGGCCCACCGACACACCUACCGAUCUAGGUUUGCGCAGUAGCGGCGGGAAGCACGACCGCCACUUCACCGGCAACCGGACUCAGCACUGCGCGUCGCUGCCUUGCGCAGACUCCACCAACCGAACCCGCGAUGGCCAGCAGCUCUGCUGCUCCCACCUCUAGGGGUGAAGGUACCCUAUCUCUCUCUCACUCUCGGCACACACCAGGAACCCUAUGACCCUCAUGUUAUUCACGAUCCCGACUAGAUGUGCAUCUAGAGAUCCUAGGCAAGGCCCUAACACACAGGACAAGGAAGACCCCGACCACGGCACCGCCCCUGACCUCGGGGACCCCCUCCAUUUCUAAAAAACAUUGUUGCUCGGUCCCUGGUCUAUAUAAAGGGAACCGGGCCUUCUUCUCACUCUCGCACUCACUCGCACAACACACAUUCCCACAGGCCUUCUUCUAAAAAACAGGAGUGCGAGAGAGAGCUGAUCCCAGGCCUCUUGGGUGUGCACUGAUCACUGAUGCUCUAAGUGGGUGUGGGAGUGCUCUGUUGGCUUGGAAGCCCCCCCCCCCCGCCGGCCUUCGGCUCCUGCCGGCGCGUCUGCCGGAGGAGGGCGGCCGCCGUCGCGUCCCGUCGAUGGUCUCCUCGACGGCUGUCGCCGCCAGGCGUGAUGAUGGUGUUUCGUCGUGGCACCUGUGUCCGUUGGGGGAGGCGGCGGAUCCCGCCAUCUGCUGACGGCCUGCGGAAGGCGGACGUCGCGUUCCUGUCGCCGGAUGCGUGGGGCGCGAGGACGGGCGCGUCUUCCUCCUGCUCCGGGCGGCGCAAGCCAUGAGUGCCCUUGCUGCGAAUCAGGGGGAUCUGCGGCCACUGUAGCCUGUGCGGUCGUGGCUACAGUGUUCCGCUCGGGUACUUGUGGCGGGUCACGUCGAGGGGCGCGGGCGCCUUUCUGCGUGCCAGAGCCGCGGUGCAUUUAUGGCGAGACCGCUGGGGGGGCCCACAAGAUCCGCGCCCUCGUCCGUCGGUCUGCGCCCGAGGUGGACACUUGUCUCGUGGGCCCGGAUGAGUCCGACCCCCUACGCCCGGGGUCGGGCGAAGCGGAGCCUUGUGGCGAGGGUCGGGCGCUCCCGACCCUGGGACCGCGGUCGCGCGAGGCGGAGUCCCGCCAUCGAGGCUCCGCCUCGUCCGACUUGUCUGCAACUUCGAUAGUUUUUUCUUUUGCGAAAAAAGAAACCCCAAGCCGUCUCGGUUCAGGCUUUUCCCGUUAAGCUCAGGGGUAUCCGACCCUGGCCUCGUUCCAGGACCGCAUACCCCUCGGGGGCUAUCAGGGGCUCCGUCCAAAGCCACUUGGCACCAUCUAAAAGAAACGUUUUUUCUUUCAAACCGAAAACUCCUUUCUAGACUUUUGGACGCAAAAAAGAAUGCGCGAACGGUACUCAGGCAAGAUUGAUCGGACUGCGAAAAAACCUACGCCCCAGCGGCUACGGCACCUUCGCUCAUCACAGCUUAACUGACGCACCCGACAACGUAUUCAAAACUUUCAAGCCCAAAAGAAUAGUAAAUGGGAUCGGAAACUUUAGCACAGCAAAGUUAUAAACAGGCCCGUAUGGCCAUCACAAAACAAGUUCGAAACUGACAUGGUUACAAUUUGGGCGCAAGCCCGGUACAGCUAGCUAACUUGUUGGAGGGUCGGCAGAAGGGACGGCCUCAUCUUCCAGGAGCUUCGCGAGGGUUUCUGCCGGGGCGAACACCGCUGCAUCAAUCUCGUCCAGCUCGGCCUCGGAGUAACCGGCGGCGUACCCUCCACUCAUCCCAGCAAAAUUGAUGCCGGAAUAGUGGGAGCCGAAGACCCCAAAAGCUCGCCGCACGCCGAUAUGAAGCGCGUCCACGGCGAUCUCCCGACUCCGGCGGCGUACCUCGAGAACACGAGCCGGCAGAGAGCUCGACCCCUCCUCCGGAACCACGCCGAAGCCGUCGCAGACGACGCGAACCGCUUCCCGCAGGGCGCCAUGCUCACCACGCUCCGCGUCGAGCAACUCCCUCAGCUUGGCGAGUUCGCCUGCACAACCCAUCCAGAAAAACCCAAAGUCAGGAACAGCCACAACAUCACGGGGACUCAGAAACGGAAAGAAGUCUCACCGUCGGCCCAGCCCUUCAGCUCGCGCUCCCGGUCGGCUCCUUGAGACACGGCGGUCUGGAGUCCUUGCACUUGCGACCAGAGGUGACUGACCUCCGCACCAAGGUCAGCCGCCACCUUCUCGGCCUCCUCCUUCUUGACCUUCUCGGCGUCCCGGUCCUGCCAAGCCUUGAGCCGCUCGCGCCGGACGCGCUCGACGGUUUUCUGGAGGGCUUCAUGCUCCCCCCUCAGCCGCGCGAGCUCCUCGGCGUCGCGGCGGGCCCUCUCAGCGGCAGCCUGGAACUCCUCGUGGUCAAGACGGGCCUUGUCGAUGACGGCUUGGAGCUUGGCCUCCGAUCGCCGCACCUCCUCCAGCGCCGCCCCCUCACGCCUUUGCAGGUCGCCAAUGGCUCCCUGGGCGGCAGCGACCUGCAUAGACAGCUCCCUGGUGCGCUGCCUCUCCGCGUUGAAACGCUCCCAGAGCCCCCGCUCCAGCCGGAGGAAAUCAGAUUUCCCCCGACUGCACUCUUGGAGAGCCUGCAAAGCAAUACGCCAUCAGGGGCAAGGCAACGGGAAAGGGACAAUCGCCAACAGGAGGGGCGACGUACCUGGCUACCAGGGAGGACGACGUUGUCCAAAGCCCCCAUCGCCGAGGACAGAGCCGCGCGGGCGUUGGCGAGGCCACCCUGCACCGCCUGCCACUUGUGCCACUCCGCGGCGUCAUCCAGGGUGAAGAGGUGCCUCGGCGGGUCCUCACGGGAUGCCCAACGCAGGACAGACCCUCUCCACGCCCUGGGAACGGUAGCAGCCAAGGCCGAGGCGGGAGCCGAUCCUGGCGCCGCCGUCGAGGUCGGCACCAUCACACCAGAAGCCGCCGGGUUCACCGACGGACCCGGCGCCUGCACACUCGUCGCCACCGAGGCCGCCGCAGGGUCGCCCAAUGGCGGCACCGCCUCCGACGCAAGCGGCAAGAUAGGUAUCCCAGCGGCUACCUCGCCCUCCGCCGCAACCACCUGUGGAGGCUCCUCCGCUCCCGCCGGAGUCCCCCCAGCGGGCCCCUCCGCCUCCGCCGCCGGAGCCACUCCCGCGGGGAUGAUCGGGGCGGAGGUCCCCGCCUCCGUCGCCACUGCCUCCUUCGCCGCGGCCGCAGGGGCGGGCACUCCCUCCUCCGUCGCCGCCGCCGCCGAUCCCGCCACGGCUGCGGGGGCAUCCGUCCCGCCUCCCGUCGCCGUCGUGUCCUCCGCCUCGUCGGCGUCAAGAUCAAUCACCUCCCCGGCCUGAGGACCCGGGGGAAUGACGCCCUGCGCUGUAGGGGCAACCGGGGGAACCGAGGGCGGAAAGGGGCCCGCUCCUCCUCCCGCCACCGAUGCCGCCGUCGCUCCGUCAGCCGCCGUCACGGGGGCCGCCUCCACGGAGGGGACUGCGGCCUCACCAAGGGCCUCGCCGCUCGCCGCGGGCGGAGCCGCGGUCCGUCCCCCGGAGGAGGACGACGCCGUCAACGCCUUCUUGGGCGCCAGUUGCAGGACGAGGCCACGAGGGGCGGCGCUGCACAUCAACAAGUAAACGUCAGCGGGAACAAACACGGGAAGGGAGAGGAAUGAGACGCGUGAGGAAGGCCGACUUACGUCCCUGAGACGCGAGGGCGGCGCGCGCGCUUCGCUUCGGAGCCCGACGCCGACCCCGGGACAUCUGGCAGCGGCCGCUUGUCGCCGCUUCGCGGCCCUCCGGUCUCGGGCGCGACGGCGGAGGCGGUCUCCGCAGUCCCCCUGGGAGCGCCCUGGGCGGACUCCUGGGGGGCGCCCAGCGCCGGCUCCUGAGAGGCGGCGGGGGUAGUCUCCGAAGACUCCUGGGGGGCGCCUAGCGCCGGCUCCUGAGAGGCGGCGGGGGUAGGCUCCGAAGACUCCCGGGGGGCGCGGCUCCGCGCCGGCUCCAGAGAGGAGCCCCGUGACGACCCCUGGGGGGCACCCCUUGCCGGCCCCUGGGGAGCGUCCCGCGCCGGCUCCUGGGAGGCGCCCCGAGCCGACCCCUGGGGGGUGUCCCGCGUCAACUCCUGGGGGGCGCUCCGUGCCAACCCCUGAGGCGCAACCCCGGGGUCCUGCGGAACCGGGGCUCGGGCGGACGCCUCCUCCGCUUCACCCCCCGCGGUCGUCCGCGGGCGCACCUCCCGAAUUACGAGUGCGCCCGAUCGGAAGGAGGAAAUCAGCUCCUCUUCAUCGUCUUCCUCAUCUUCAUCCUCUUCAUCAUCAUCGUCAUCGUCGUCGUCAUCGUCUGACACGACCGGCCCCCUCCGCCGCCGUUGGAACUCCUCGGCGGCCUUCUUCCUCUUCUUCGCCGUCUCCUUGUCCUUGCGACGCUUCUGCGCCUCGGCAAGGAGACGGUUGCGCGUCCGCCGCUCAGCGUCCUCCGGCACAGGCGGGAGCGAGUCCACGACCCGGGUUAGCGUGCCCUACGAACGCAAAACGGCUCCACGUCAGGAUGACAAUCGCAAGACGCAAAGAAAGGAGGUCGACGCCCCAACCCCUUACCAGGUCUAUGAAGCCCGCAUCCGGGCGCAUCGGCGGGUGCCCGGGAAUCGGGUACUCGGCGUCCUUGUCCUCCAGCGCCUCCCGAAUCCGUUGCCGGAUUUCGGAAGCCGCAAGCGCACCCGCCGCCAAGACGGUGCCCUCGGUCGGCGCGUCGGAAGUCAUGGCGGCAAGCGGGCGGAUCCGGAGCAUCAGCGGCGCCACUCGCCGGGCAUGGUACGCUCCGAUGACCCCGGCGCCGGUGAGCCCGCUCCUCUUCAGCCGCUCGAUGGCCUGCAGCAGGUCGAAGAUCCGUUUCUUCUCCUUGUCCACCGGCCCGUACGCCCACACCUCCGGCGCCACAUCGAUGGUGCGGCCGGUGAACCCCGGCAGGGGGGAGUACGAGUAGUUCUUCACAUAGAACCACUGGUUGUGCCACCCCUUGUGGGACGCCGAGGUCUUCAUCGCCAUAUACUCCUUGGAGCGAGUAUGGCGGAGGUGGAUCCCGGCGCAUCCAAUCGGCACCGGAGGCGACCGCUGCUGGCUCCCCCGCUUCUCCGUCUUCUGGUACAAACUCACUGUGAAAAAGUACUUCCACAGCGAGAAGUUGGGCGCAAUGCCCAAGAACCCCUCGCACAGCGCGACGAACGCCGCAAUAUGCUGGAUCCCGUUGGGAUUAAGGUGCUGGAGCUCGAGCCCGUAGUAGUGGAGGAGCCCACGGAAGAAGCGGCUCGGAGGAGAAGCGAACCCCCGCUCGUGGAAGUGAGCGAAGGAGACGACGUAGCCGGAGGGAGGCGUCGGCACUUGCUCCGUCCCCGGCAGUUCCCACUCGCCCGCCGCCGUCCUCUCACAGAGGAGGCCUUUCCGCACUAGGCCCUCGGCGCGCGAGGGGGUGAAAUGGGAGAUCCCCCAGGAACCCAUCACCAGAGGAGGAGGAAGCUCAACGGUGGUGGGAAGAAAGGGCGCGGCUUGGAGCGGAGGAAGGCGAAGCAGACGCGGGUGAGCUAAGCGCGACGCUGAAGGACGAAAGGGCUCAAAUGCAGAAGGCGGGCGGAACCAGCGAGGCGGGCUCCCGUUUUUAUAGGAAAGGUGCGGGGGAAGCCAAAUCGACGCCCCUGCCGCCAUAAAUGCGGCGCCAGGUACGCCCCUGCCACGCCUACUUCCUUUUCGAAAAUCGCGCGCACGAUCGACCGCGAAGACAUCCUAGUAUCCUCCUCAAUUCGCGGGACGACGCCCCCCAUAACUCCGUCUCCCGAAAGGCACGCCCACGACGUCUCCCACGUUCGGCCCAUACGCAACGACCGCUCCGUUCCGGCCCAAGGCCCACCGAAAGGUAACAAAGGGAUACGGGGCUGAAAACGCCCCUACGGCCCAUUACGGUCCAGAGGUUCGAAGGCUGGCCCGCCACGGGUUCGACAGCUGCCUCAGGACACCCCCCGAGCGAGGGGUGAGAAGGGACGGGUCCGCUAGCGGCCAACACCCGGGCGAGCGAAAGCCAAGGGCGUCCCGACGGAGGGGAUGAGCCGUGCCACGCUAUCCUCGUCGGACGAACCGUGGUGCUCAUGGAGCUACUAUCGGGCGAGUUCGAGUGGGGUCCCGGUCCCCGUUCGGGAGGUUCCAGCUUGGGCCAAGCUGGUGGCGUACCCCAGGCUCCGAUCGGCCAGUUCAUAUAGUUCUCGAAUCCGUUCGGUUGGAUCCGGGGGCUCGUUGCCUUUCUUCGGGGAAAAACCAUGAACUUUGAUGCCGGUUCAGACUCGAACGUGAGAUUGAGACGCCCUGGGCUAUUGCGCGCCUGGGUGAUGGUCGCUUGCGGACCCGUCUCCUCUCACCCCUCGCUCGGGGGCAUCCUGUAGCGGUUGUCGAACCCGUGGCGGGCCAACCUUCGAACUCCUGGAUCGUAAUGGAUCGUAAUGGGCCGUAGGGGCGUUUUCAGUCCCGUAUCCCUUUCUUACCUUUUGGUGGGCCGGAGGCCGCGUCUUGGGCCGGACGUGGAGGGUGCAGCGCCUUGGGCCGGACGUGGGGGACGUUGUGCGCGUAUCCCCGGGAAGUGAAGCGGUGGAGGGCGCCGACCCGCGAAUCGAGGGAGGAGGGGAUGUUUCUGCAGCCGGUCGUGCGCAUGGUUUCCGAAAAAGAAGCGGGCGUGGCGGAGCGUACCUGGCGCCGCAUUUAUGGUGACGGGGGCGUCUGUUCUGCUUCCCCCGCGCUUUCCCUAUAAAACGAAAGUUUCGCCUCGCCGGUUCCGCCCGCCGUCUGCCUUCAAACUCUUUCGCCUCCUCGCGCGCCCUCAGCUGUCCUGCACCCGCUUCGUCCUCCUCCGCCCAGCGCCGCACCCUUUCUCCCCAUCCCCCGUCGAGCUCCUCUCCUUCCGGCGAUGGGAUCCUGGGCGAUUUCCCACUUCAGCCCCUCGCGCGCCGAAGGCCUAGUGAGGAAGGGCCUCCUCUGCGAGAGGACGGAGGCGGGUGAGUGGGAGCUUCCGGGGGCGGAGCAGGCGCCGGCGCCGCCCGCCGGCUAUAUCGUCUCCUUCGCCCACUUCCACGAGAGGGGGUUCGCGACUCCGCCGAGCCUCUUCUUCCGCGGGCUCCUGCAUUAUUAUGGGCUUGAGCUGCAGCACCUCAACCCCAACGGGAUCCAGCACAUCGCGGCGUUCGUCGCGCUGUGCGAGGGGUUCCUGGGCAUCGAGCCCAACUUCUCGCUGUGGAAGUACUUCUUCACGGUCAGCCUGUACCAGAAGGCGGAGAAGAAGGGGAGCCAGCAGCGGUCGCCUCCGGUACCGAUAGGGUGCGCCGGGAUCCACCUCCGCCAUACUCGCGCCAAGGAGUACCUGGCGAUGAAGACCGCGGCGUCCCACAAGGGGUGGCACCAGCAGUGGUUCUAUGUGUAGAACUACUCGAACUCCCCCCUGCCGGAGUUCACCGGCCGCACUAUCGAGGCGGCGCCGGAGUUGUGGGCGUACGGCCCGGUCGAUAAGGAGAAGAAGCGGAUCCAUGGCCUGCUGCAGGCCAUCGAGCACUUGAAUGGGAGGGGGUUGACCGGAGCCGGAGUCAUCGGGGCGUACCACGCUCGGCGGGUGGCGCCGCUGAUGCUCCGGGUCCGCUCGCUCGCCGACAUGACUCCGGGCGCGCCGACCGAGGGUACCGUCCUUGCGACGGGUGCGCUCGCCGCCUCCGAGAUCCGGCAGCGGAUUCGGGAGGCGCUGGAGGACAAGGACGCCGACUACCCGGUGCCCGGUCACCCUCCGAUGCGCCCGGACGAGAACUUCAUUGACCUGGUAAGGAUUUUGUGCGCCAACCUUAUUUUUUCGUGUUUCUUUGUUCGCCGCUCUGACGCGGGGCCUUUUCGCGUUUGCAGGGCAGCAUGACCCGGGUCGUGGACUCGCGCCCGCCGGUGCCGGAGGACGCCGAGCGUCGGCUGCAGAACCGUCUCCUUGCUGAGAAGCAAAAGCGCCGCAAGGACAAGGAGACGGCGAAGAAGAAGAAGAGGGCCGCCAAGGAGUUCCCGCGGCGGCGACGAGGACUCGUGUCGGACGACGACGGCGACGGCGACGGCGACGACGACGACGACGACGAAGAGGAGGAAGAGGAGGAGGAUGACGAGGAGGAAGAGGAGUUUGUCCUGUCCCCCCGGUCGGGCGCGCUCGUUAUUCGGGAGACGCGCUCCCAAACGGCCGCGAGGGAUGAAGCGGGCGGAUCGUCCGGCCGGGACUUGGUCCCGCAAAGCUCUGGGGCCGUCCCCCAGGAGCCGGCGCGGAGUGCCUCCCGGGGGUCUACGGAGCCCGCCCCCGUCCCCACGCCUGCGGCCCAGGAGCAGAGGAGCGGCGACAAGCGGCCGCUGCCGGACGCCCCGGGGUCGGCGUCCGGCUCGGAGGCGAAGCGCGCACGCCGUCCUUGCGCUGGGGGAACGUGAGUUGAAUUUCCUCGCGAACCUCGUUCCUUUCCAUGCAUUAUGUUCGUUUCCGCUGAUGUUUGUUGAUUGUUUUUGCAGCGCCGCCCCUCGAGGUCUCGUCCCGCAGCUGGCGCCCAAGAAGGCGCUGCGGGUGUACUCCGCCCCUGCGGGGCGCACCGCGGCCCCACCCGCGACGACCGGCGGGGUCCCUGGUGAGGUCGCGGGUCCCACCGCGGAGGUGGCCCCGGCGGUGGCGACCGGUGGAGUGGUGCCGCCGCCGGGCACGGGAGAGGGCGCGGGCCCCGCUCCGCCUUUCGCUUCUUCGACUGACCCCGCGGUGCAGAGUAUCGCUCCCGGGGGCCCUCAGGCCGGGGAGGUGAUCGACAUCGACGCCGACGAGGCGGAGGGAACGGCGGCGGUGGAGACGGGGACGGAUGUCCCAGCGGCCGCGACGGGGACGGCGGCGGCGACGGUGGAAGGGGAGCCUGCCCCCGCGGCCACGGCGGGGACAGCGGCAGCGGGGGAGACUGGGACGCCUGCCCCGGCGGCUGCGACAGAGGAUGUGGUGGCGACGGAGACGGGGACUUCCGCCCGGGGAGCUCCGGCGGAGGUGGCACCGGCGGCGGAGGCGGAGGUGCCUGCUCCAGAGGCCCCGACGGGGGCGGGGACGCCUACCUCGGCGGUCGCGACGGAGGGCGAAGCGGCCACGGGGACGCUCGCUCCGGCGCCCGCGUCAGAGGCGGUGGCGCCGACUGGCGGGCCCGCGGCGGCUUCGACGGGGGCAGGGGCGCGUGCCCCGGGACCGUCGGUGAGCCCGGCGGCUUCGGGGAUGGUGGAGCCCGUUUUGACGGCGGCGUCGAGGUCGGCUUCCGCCUCUGCCUCGGGCCUCGGCCACUCCCGUUCCCAGUGCGUGGAGAGGGUCCGUCCUGCGUUGGUCGUCCCGUGACGACCCGCAGAGGCCCCUCUUCACGUUGGAUGAUGCCACGGAAUGGGGCAAGUGGCAGGCGAUGCAGGGCGGCCUUGCUGACGUCCGCGCGGCUCUGUACUCGGCGUUGGGGCAGAUGGACGUCGUCGUCCUCCCUGGUAGCCAGGUAUGGUACCUUCUCCGUUGGUGGUUGUAUCCCUCCCUGUUGUUUUACCCCUGAUGUCGUAUUGUUUUGCAGGCUCUCCAAGAAUGCAGUCGGGGGAAAUCCGAUUUCCUUCGGCUGGAGCGGGGGCUCUGGGAGCGCUUCAACUUGGAGAGGCAGCGGACCGGGGAGCUGUCCAUGCAAGUUGCCGCCGCCCAGCAGGUCAUCAACGAUCUGCAGAGGCGCGAGCAAGCGGCUCAGGAGGAUGCGCGGCGGGCGGAGGCCAAGCUCCAGGUCGUCGCCGAGAGGGCCCGCUGCGACCGCGAGGAGUUCCAGGCCGCUGCCGAAAAGGCCCGCCACGACGCCGAGGAGCUCGCACGGCUGAAGGGGGAGCAUGAAGCCCUUCAGAAGACCGUCCAGCGCAUCCGGCGCGAGCGGCAAAAGGCUUGGCAGGACCGGGACGCCGAGAAGGUCCGGAAGGAGGAGGCCGUGAAGGCGGCGGCCGACCUUGGGGCGGAGGUCGGUCAGCUUCAAGCGCAAGCGCGGGAGUUUCAGGCCUCCGUGGCCCAGGGGCUCGACCGGGAGCGCCAGCUGAAGGCCCAGUCCGAGGGUAAGACUCUGUUCAUUUCUUUGUCGUUGUGAUGUUGCGGUGAUUUUCGAUUUAGCGGGUUCUUCUGGGUGAUCCUUGCAGGCGAGCUCACCCGGCUGAGGGAGGCGCUCGACGCGGAACGCGCUGAGCACGGCAACCUGCGGGAUGCGGUCCGCGUCGUCUGUGACGGCCUCAGCGUGGUCCAGAAGGAGGGGACGAGCUCGCUGGCGACUCGUGUCCUCGGGACCUACCGCCGAGCCCGCGAGAUCACCCUGGAGGCGCUCCACACCGGCGUGAGGCGAGCCUUCGGGGUCUUCGGCUCCCACUACUCCGGCAUCAACUUCGCCGGGAUGAGCGGGGGGUACGCCGCCGGCUACUCCGAGGCUGAGCUGGACGAGAUCGACGCGUCGGUGCUCAACCCGGCGGAGGCCUUGGCGAAGCUCCUGGAGGAUGAAGCCGUCCCUCCCGAAGAUCCCCGGACGAGUUAACUGUAUCGGGCUGGCGCCCAAGAUGUUUGGAUACGAGGUGCAAAACUUGAGCUAAUUAUAAAACUAAUUGCAGAACCCUGUGCUAAUUCGCGUGACAAAUCUAUUAAGCCUAAUUAAUCCAUCAUUAGCAAAUGGUUACUGUAGCAUCACAUUGCCAAAUCAUGAACUAAUUAGGCUUAAUAGAUUUGUCUCACGAAUUACACUCCAUCUGUGCAAUUAGUUUUGUAAUUAGUCUAUGUUUAAUACUCCUAAUUAGCAUCCAAACAUUCGAUGUGAUGGGUGUUAAACUUUAAAUACGUCAGUUUCAGACUUAUUUUGUGAUGGCCACAGGGUCUUUUUCUAUGGAUUGUCGUAAAAAAGUUUUCGAUUCGAUUCCCUUUCUUGUUUUUUGGACUUGGAAAGUUUAGAGUGCGUUGUCGGGCAUGUCAGUAAGCUUUGAUGAGCGAGGGUACCGUAGCCGCUGGGGCGUAGUUUUUUUCGCAGUCCGAUCAAUCUUUGCCUGAACACCGUUCGUGCACUCUCUCCUUUUUAUGCUCAAAAGUUCAGAAAGGGGGUCGGCUCGGAAAGAGAGCGUUUUGAGAGGGUGUCAAGUGGCUUUAGGCCGGAGCCCCUGAUAGCCCCCGAGGGAUGUGCGGCCCUGAAGCAGAGCCAGGGUCGGAUAUCUCUGAGUUCGAGGUGAAACUUGAAUGGAACCAUCUCAAAAUUCUUUUUUCCGUAAAAUUUUUUAAAUUUUCACAAGUGUGUAUGCACAGAACUUGGAAACGAAAGCUAGGGGUAGAAGCGUCUUAGCUGUUCUAUGUUCCAGGUGAGCCGCCCCUCUGGGGGAGGCCCGCCGGCGCGCGCCCGGCUCGCCGCCAUCCCGGCGGUGGAGCCGGGGAUGGGGGGACGAGCGGGCCAGACGAGGAGAGGGAUCAGCUCGAUCCCCUCCCCGGUGGCGAGGAAGUCCAGACUCCCGAAGCGGAUCAGGGAGCCCGGAGCGAAGCUGGCGUCGUGGUUGGCCAUCUGAAGCCGGAGAUGUACGCGCAAAUAUGCGCGUAAGGCUUCGGAUCGUGGCGUGGGAGACACGGGUUUAGACUGGUUCGGGCAAGGGAACGCCCUACGUCCAGUAUCGGGAGCUGCUCGUGUUGACCACGCAGGGUUCUGUAGUAGGCUCUAGCAGGGUGCGCUCGUGCGUUCUGUUGUCUAGGGAGCGCUAUGGUGUCUUCGUUGUGCGUUUUGCCUCUCCUGUCUCAGGCCCCCGAUUCCUCUUUUAUAGCGUAAGGAGGCCACCGGAGUUACAGGUGAGACCGAGUGUGGGGAGCGGUAAAGAGAUAAACAUGGCUAGGUAAAAAAAAUACAACGCGAGGGGGGGGAGCAAGUUCCCAGGUCGCCGGCGUCCUCGCCGGCCUUCGGCUUCCACCGGCGCGUUUGCCGGAAGAGGGUGGCGGCCGCUGCAUCCUGUCGAUGGCUUCCUCGGCGACUGUAGCCGCCGGACGUGAUGAUGGCGUUUCGUCGUGACCCCCGUGUCCGUUGGGGGAGGCGGCGGAUCUUGCCAUCCUGCCGACGGCCCGCGGAGAGCGGACGUCGCAUCUCCGCCGCCGGGCGCGCGGGGCACGAGAGCGGGCGAGGCUUCCUCCUGCUCUGGGUGGCCAAUCGGAGAAGGUCGUAGCUACUGUAGCAAGUACUGUGCGGCCGCACAUGGGUACUUGCGACGGGUUGCGUGGGGGCGCGGAUAUCCUUCCCUCUGACACCUUUGCGGCGCAUUUAUGGUAGAAUCGACAGGGGGACCCAUGAGAUCCGCGCCCGAGGCGGAUACCUGUCUGGUGGGCCCGGGUCAGCCCGACCUCCUAUGCAAGCGGAGGCCUUCGGCGGGGGGUCGGACGCUCCCGACCCCUGACCUGCGUUCGGGCGAGGCGGAGCUUGGUCUCACGGGGGUCGGGGAUGCCUGACCCCAGGAUACCGGGUCGGGCGAGGCGGAGCGUGAUUCUCGUCCCCCGUGUUGGGCCGACGGCAGUCGUUAUUCCCUUAGGCGGGCCUGGGCCUUCGCGUUUUUGUUGUUUCCAUGGGCUUCGAAGGGUCGUUAAUAUUUUCCCCUGACAAUAGCCCCCGAGCCUGUGGUGGAGCGGGGACGCUCCUCCAGAGGCUGCUGUCAUCGUCCGCAGGGGAUCCUACAUCUAUCAACUAAUAAUGUUUCGUACUUGGCAGCAGAUUGCCUUUUCUCUCUCUGCAAUGCGCUCCUCCUAACUAACGCGACCUUUAAUUUCUGAAUGGUCACACGGCCACAUGAUCGCAUCUUACAGGACCUUCGUUUCCGAUCCAUCGUGCAGAGAGAAUAUAAUCAUAUUCCCGCCCGUGACAAAACCAAAUGCAAGAAGCAUAUAUAUACUAUGUAAUACCCUGGGUACGGAAUAUACCCGAGCUCACCCGCGGAUCCGGCUCCCCCUUUUUCUCCCGCCCCUUCCGCCGGUUUUUUUCUCAAACGGUUCCCCCGGUUUUUUUUUCCAGCUUUUUUCCCGAACGUGGGUCUUCCGUCGUGGGUGGUGUUCAGUUCCCGUCCAUCCACUCCUCAUGCUAGCGGACGCUGCCGCUCGCCAUUCGCUGCCGCCGUCGCUCGCCAACCGCCGCCGCCGCCUCCACCGCCGACUCCGCGUCCGGCAUCCAGUCGCCGCUGCUCCCCAUCCGCAGCCGCCUCAAUCUCUCCCCAUCCGUUUCCGCCGCCGCUCGCCCGCAGCUGCCGCGCCGCCCCUCUCCUCCUCCGCAUCGACGCCGCGCCGCCCCUCGCAUCGACCCCGCACCGCCUCUCUCCUCCGCGUCGACCCCGCGCUGCCCCUCUCCUCCUCCGCAUCGACGCCUCGCGCCCCUCGCGUCGACCCCGCGCCGCCCCUCGACUUCGACCGCCCGUCCAAGUUCCUGGUGGUUUGCCUCAAUGCCAUCCGGGAUGAGGUGGCGCCCGAGGACGGCGGCGGCAGCAGCAUCCACGGCGGCGGCGACUGGGGCGUGGAGCUCUGGAGGUCCUGCUCCUCCCCGGCGCCGUCCGACGUGCUCGACACCAGCGGCGCGUGCGCCACGAUGGAGCAGACAGCGUGGCUCGUCUCCACUGCCUGCGACAUCGUCGCCAGGAAGGAGAGGCUUGGGAUGGUCGUCUCCUGCCCCUUCCUGCUGUACCUCGUCCCGUCCCAGGAGAAGGCCGCGCAGGUUGGUACUGCCAUUUUGAUGCUUACUGUGUAUUUAUGUGUAUAGCUUUUUAAUGAAUCAAAUGUGAAUGACUUAGUUAAUUUGGUGUCGUUUGGGCAGGUGCGAUCGAUAUGCAAACCCCUGAAGCCUCUUGGGAUUCAUUCAGUGAGCUUGCAUUCUGGCGCUUCGGUUGAACAUCAGAUCUCUGGGUAUGUUUUUUGUUCUUUUAUUUGUGUUAUCCUUUGUUUAUUGCAAAUGGAAAAAUGUGUUAUCUGUUAACCUAGACGCGUAGUGCUUAUGCAUAUCAAAUGGCAGCUGAUAUAUUGGUGUUAAUUCAUUUUGUUUUGACUGCCCUACCAGACUAAAAACUUGUGAGCCGGAGUAGACUAAAAAUUCUACCACAUUAAGCAGGAUUAUUAGGACCUUACAGUGGCAGUUGGUUCGAUUGAGUACUCGGAGUCCAAACCGGCAGCAACGGAAAUAUUCAGGUAAUAAAGAGGUUUGUUUCUUUCUUCUGGAAUUCCAUAGCCUGGUGAGUUUGGGUGAAACGAGGGGGGCUGAGUGAAUUAUAAGAGGAUAUUGGCCUGCUGCAACUUGAAAUUCUAGUGUUUCCAAACUGACAUUAUGGCAUGAUUCACUGAAUUCCUGUUUCAGAUGGGCAUGAUUCACUUAACCUUCUGCUUCAGGUCUUUGAGAAUUGCAAUUCUUGUAACAAUUACCCCUACUAACUUAACCGGCAUGCUUAUGUUGCAUGUGCUAGAUGCUGUUAUUCAAGCCUUCCAUCAGAAUGGUGAGAUUGUCUUGAGACCUGGACUAAAUGCUGUUUGAGUGCGAUAGAACCAUGAUACAAAUUCAUUAUCAACUUGGUAUGAGGGUCUAAUGACAUGGCACUAUGAUUACAGCUCGAGUUAAGUUAAGACAUGAAGUCAUCAAUGAUUCCUUCUAUUAAAUUUACCCAUCUGGAUAUGUAGAUAUGCUUUUGUGAUAUGGUUAGAUUUUCUAAUUUAGGCUAAUUAAGAUUAGAGCUCAUAUUGUCAUCUGAAAUGUUGGCAGGAGGCAAAUACUGAAAUAUUGCCAUUUUUUAAUUUGUUGUUUGGUUUGGUUUGUCUUCAUUGUCGAAAAAAGACUAAAAAUCAUGUUUAUGAACUACUAGGAGAUAUGCUUUGUUUUUUCUUUGGAGUUUUGGACUCCAGAUUCUCUAACUAGCAAUGAAGUGCAGAUAGGAAAUGCUGACAAACACACAAUCUUAUUUAUGCUAAUGCCUCUCAUCAAUACUGUUAGGUUCUGACUCAUUUGAAGCUUAUUCACAGAAUACCAGGGUACAGAAUAGCUUAGAAAUAAAAUUAUUCUGAUCAUCAACAUCAACUCAUUUGAAGCUGUGACCUGUAAUGACGAGAUAAAUAGAGAUACUAAAACAUCUGACUGUGUGCUCUUUACGCAACAUGCCUCAGAACCUAAUCCUAGUAAUCUAUAAUAGUGCUUUACUGCCACCUAGGUAAAAAAAUGUUUGAAACCCACAACCCUCUGAUUGUACCAUUUUGUUAUCUUGACUUGGGAACACUUCGACAACUGCCUAUGGUAUACUGGCUAGCAUUUGGUUGUGAUACUGAAGAUCCUAUACUCUUUCCUCCUAGGAUGAUUCAGAAAUAGUUGCCAUGAUAAAAGAAUUGUUGGAGACUCGCAUUCGGCCAGCUGUUCAAGAUGAUGGUGGUGACAUUGAAUACCGAGGGUUUGAUCCGUUAGUCUUUCUCUCCCUCCCCAGCAUGCUGUCUGCUGAUAUUGAAUAUUUGGAUUCCUUCGUCUCACUAGGAUACUAUCCUUUCAGAGAAACAGGGAUAGUUAAGCUUAAAAUGCAAGGUGCCUGCAGGGUGUCCAAGUUCAUCCGUCACAUUGAAGUCUGGGAUAGAAAACAUGCUUAUGCACUAUGUACCUGAGGUAACGUGAUGUGAUUUAUACAUUCUUGCUGACGGUCGUUAAUGCUUGUGGCUCAUGUGAAAGAUGUUUUCUAUUUGAUAACUAGAUUGCUUGUCAUGUGCUGAUAUUCAGGAAAUGAGUUCCUAUUGCAAUUGUUCCAUAUAAUUUGUUUUUCAUAAAGGGGGAGAUUAUCCAUUGAUUCUCAGUGGCAGGCCUUAAGAUUUCUAUUGUGCUAAUUUGUCAUACUGCUUUGGCAGGUGAAAGGAGUAGAGCAAGAGUUUGAUGGUGACGAGGAAGCUGAGCUGGCUGGACAGAUGGAAUGAGCUUUUUCAGUUAUAAGGGUCAACGCAUCCUCUUCAAAUGUUGCCGCUCGCCAUCCGCAGCUGCCCCCGCCGCCGCUCGCCCGCAGCAGCCACAGCAGCAGCUCAAGUGGCAGCGGCUGAUGCUGGGAAGCUGAUUGAUAUCAAUGCACCAGUGGAUCUGGGAACAGAAUCAAAUGUGCUGCACACAUUUGAGCUCCCUAUAUCAUUGUCUGCUCUGCAAGAAUUUGGCGGAGCCAAGGGCCUGUUUGAUGGUUACAUGGUUAGAAAGCAGAAGAUAGAAGCUACAAUGGGGUAUCCGUGCUUCUGCAGGCUGCUCAGCGGAUUCAACUGUCUGCCUGGCUUCAGUGCCUCUACAAUUGUCCAGAUCAUCCGCUUUCCCUUAUUUUCUUAGAAACAACAUGCAGUCUAUACAGUUUCUUCAUAAAUAUUACCUACUGUAUGACUGAUUAAUGUUUAUACAUGUGGAGUGUGUUGUCAUCUUAUCGUUGUUAUUUGACAAUAUGCAAGUUGAUGAUUUGAAUCCAUAGUCAGUCCAUCCAACACAGCACAGAGGAUAGGGCCUUCCUCCUCAAAAUGACGAUCUGCCCUCCUGCUGACAACAACCCCUGUGCCCUCAUCCAAUGUAGCAAAGUUGGACUGCAUGCAAAUUGAGCACACAAUUCAGCGAUGGGAUUAAUACAUUUAUCAGUUGAUAAGAAACAUUAAAUUUUGUCCAGGGAUAAAAAGGAAGAAAGAAAACAUAGGUGAAACAUGCUUCUUUCCGCACUACAGCCGGUCAAAUUCAAUGAUCCAAGCCAUUUCUUAGAAGAGCUACAGACCAAGAUCUGACAAAAAGUGUUGGCCAAACUUAGUUAUUGCAUGCACACUCUUGAAUGAUCUGAACCAUUGCUAACUACCUAAAAUUACAGCCUAAGAGUCUAACGAAACUGAGCAUCAAUUUACAACGCAAAACAGAAGACUGAAUGAUGAACAAUAACUGCUGGGCAUACAAGUUGACAGCAGAAGGAGCCAGCUUUAGCAAUAGAACGGCAAACUAUGAUCUGAACAAAUCGAGCUACCACUACUUCAGCUGCAAUCCGGUGCUACCCAAGAACGGGGUGCCGAUCUUGACACAACAGACAUAGCAAAUGCAUCAUUCAGGAGAACUGCAGCUUGCUGAUUCAGAGUUUGUAAAAAAAAUCAAGUACACAACCUUGAGGGCGAAUCAGCGGCGUCCUGCUCGGGAAGACGGAGGCAGGGUUGAAUACGAGUGCGUCGAUUCCGGGGCCGCGGCGUCGUCCUCCUCUGGGCAUCGCUGCCGGCGGAACAGCGGCGGCAGGGUCCGGCUGGUCGGGGCGUCGUCCUCCUCUGGGCGUCGCUGUGUCCUGCUCGGGGAGACGGCGGCGGGGUUGAAUACGGGUACGGCUGGUCGCGCCGUCGUAUUCAACCCGAGCGAUGCGAGGGCGGAGAAUACUGCUGAGCGGUUCCAACAUAUGCAAACGUCCUGGGAGCGAUGCGGGGUUGUUGGUGCCCGUCAAAAAAAAAAAAAAACCCGGACGUCCUGCGGGGUUCUCCGGCUGCGGGGUGCUGGGACGGGGCUCGGGUACAGAAUAGGCUAUUCUGUACCCUGGGUACCAAAUAGGGAGGCCUCAUAUAGGGAAUUUUGAUGGCGUGAAUUAAUUUUUUAAUGGCAUACAGGGAAUUUGCUAUAGGGUUUUCCAUGUCCCUUCGUCCAAAAAUAAAUCAUUAUAUACUUCUUUCAUAGCAAAAUAUUUAUCGCUGUUAAUUUUUUCGAUACAUUUGACCAUUCAUUUUAUUUAAAAAUUUAUUGUAAAUGUACGAAAAGAUAAGUUGUACUUAAAAUACCUAUGAUGGUAAAGUAAGCCACAAACAAAAAAAAUUAAUGAUGCUUAAAUAAUUUUUGAAUAAGAUAAAUGGUCAAAUGUCAUGACUAAGUGUCAGUGGCAAAUAUUUUGAUACGGAUAUUAUCAUUCAAAAUCUGUCAAAAAAAUAAGUUAUUACACCUAAUUUGGUACGUGCUUGUAUGCAUACAUGUAUGCAUCAGCCAACUGGCACCAAAAUAAAUAAGGUCAUAAGGUCAUUUUAACUCCUUGUUUUUUUAAUCCAUCCUACAAUUUCUUGGGUGAUUUGUUUUUUAGACAGAGGGAGUAUGCAUGUUUGUCUAAUUUGAUCAUAUCAUAUCACGAGACGAAUUAAUAUCAUUGUCAAAUUCCUUAUGAACUAUCCAAAUCCAACUAUUUAGGCAUGUUGUCUUUUCUUUUUCCUUAGCGUAAAUUUACGGCAUGCAAAGUAAUUGAGACUAGCAAAUGUAUUUUGACCAGUUAUCUUUAAGCUAAUUAAGUAGGCCCUCGUGGUCCAAAGCGAAGGAUUGCACUUAUUUUAGGAUUUUUUUUGAAGUGUUAGAAUUGCGGUUUUUAUUAGGUGUGCAGGCUCGAGGAUCCAAUGUGAAAAUAGCCUUCAUCUCUCCGGGCUGACUUAGCUACAAAACCAAACUUCUUCUCAAGCUUAGUGCUGCUCUCGCCAGCGUCACCUAGCUGUUCAGCCUUGAUGCCAAGGAUCAGUUCAGCCCUCUCCUCCACGACGACUACUCGGCGCUGCAGUGUGACCUGCCCAUCCUCGUUGACGACCACCUCCUUGCCUCUGGUGUCCAGCAGCACUACAUCCUCACCAAUGCUCGUGUUGUAGGCAGUGAGGCCUGCACUAAAGUUGCCUGAUCCCUUGCUGAUGCGGGCAGUGAUGGUCGCCUCCACGGAGCGCUUGACAUGAGCGUACCUGACCUCCACUGUGCUAUGCUUGCUUGAAAGCACCUCUGUUCUGGUGUAACUGAGACUGCCUCUGUAAGAGAUGUUGUUGUAUCCAAAGAAAUCCAAGCAUAAAAUCUUGUCAUCUUCGGACAAUGAACUCCCUUUGUCCUUCACUUUCAGGUCAAUCUCAAAAAUAGGCUCAUCCUACAGCACGAUAGCUCGGCUAGGACCUGUAAGUUGCAAAAGAGAAUCCUGCAUACAGUGGCACAUAAAUUAAAGGCCAGCAAAUUUCAAUGGCCUUUAGGAACACCAUCACUAAAGGUGCAUCAGCAGCCAGACAAAUUAAAGGCCCGCAAAUUUCAAUUGCCUUUGGGAACACCAUCACUAAAGGUGAAU